UUAAGAGCCCUGAUUGUCAUGAUCUCAUCAUGGCAGCCCUGUCUUCUCCCUGGUGUAUGUGUUGUUUCCCCUGUCUGUAUUGCUUGUCUUGUGUCUCUCCCCCUGUCUGCUCUGUGUGUGUGCAUGUGGGCAUGGUCUCGCUCCAACCAGCAGCAGCCAGAUUGCUGUGUUUCCUAGUUACCCGCGUUUGCUUCUCCCCGCCUGCUUGUGAACCUGCCGCUUCACUGCCAUUGCUCUACAGCAGACUGCACACCACGCCGCCUUCACCCUCGUCUUCACCGGUGACCUCACGAACCACAAAUGGGACCCCGGGACCUUGCACCACCUCUCCUCACCUACACUUAUUUGCCAUGUUUGAACAUUAAAAGACUGUUAUUCACUGUUACCUGUAGUUCUUAGUUGUGCUUCUGGGCUCAGAUCUUGUACAAAACCAUAACACUGAUCCUCAUGCUACCUGCUGCCAGAUUAUCACGUCAGAACUGAAUGCUCAGCUUCCAGUCACCUCGCCUUCAGCACCUAUGCAGCCAACAGCCUUGCCCUCAGUACCCGUGAGCUCCACACUCCAAUCUAUCCAGAGGCGCCACUGGGAGCUACCUCAACUCCUCCUCCUCUGUGGCAGACCCAUUCACUACUCAUACUUGCAUAUUUCCUGUGAAGCAUCAAUACAUUUCUUUACUAUUCAGCUCCCUGCCUUGUUGUCCACCUCUGGCUCCUACUACACCUAUUAAUUGUAAAAUGAUCCCUAUACAUCUAGUAAGGAGAACAGGAACCAAAACUCUUUUAUAUGCAUAUACACCAAUCUCCAAUUCGAUGUGAACACUUCUCUACUUUUACCUCCUUUAAGUGUGACUGCAUGCAGUGGUUAAAUUGGCUUUUGUAAGGAGGGGGAGCACUUCUUCACUCUGGCCAUUCUCUCUCUCUCUCUCUAUCUAUUUUUUUACCUUGCACCAUCAGUGUAAUACACAUUUUAUUUAUCACAUUCACAUAUUGAUAACUUUUUAAGCCUACAUUUCACCAUCAAUCUACACUGUAAUUUGUAAAAUGUAUUCACAAUAUACAUAAUCAAUUCACAUAUUAGCAACAUUUAUUUCCAUCUCAUCAAUACACAUCAAUUAUUUGCAUUGUCACCUUACCAUCAAUUCAUAUAGUAUUUACAUCUCACACAUACAUCUGCAUGUCAAAACAUCAAACCACAUAUCAGCAGACAAUUUAAUUUAGAACUUUCCAAAUUGGAUUCAGUUCAAGUUUCUGCCCCUCCUGUCUCUUCCUACAUCCUAUAUGGUCUGCCCACCUUCGGGUCAUAACCCACUUCUUUACAUGUUUCUCUGGGUUCCACAUUUCUAAUGGUGGACCUACUAGGUUUAUAAACAUCAAGCAGGACAGCUGAUUCCGAACAGGUGAAAUUAUAGUUUUCAUAAGAGAAAAUCCUCUCUCACAUUCUGCUGUGCUUACUUCACCCACCUGCUGUGAGUCAGCAGCACCGUGUGCGUGCGUGCGUGCACUUGCGCGGUAUGCGAGAAGAUGCCGGUAGCAGUGAAAACAUGGACUGGAGUUUCAUUGGUUCAGGUUUUAUCUCAAUUAAUGAGCGGAACGUAUUUAAUAAUGAAUCUCUGACACAAUGCUCUGAAAACAGCGCUGAGUGAACAGGCUGAUGUAUUGAUGGGGAUCCAAAUGAAUGAUUUUAAAAAGU
Long non-coding RNA from Acanthopagrus latus (yellowfin seabream), 1690 nucleotides. RefSeq lists it as uncharacterized. NCBI's taxonomy places the organism in Eukaryota, Metazoa, Chordata, Actinopteri, Spariformes, Sparidae. The transcript is spliced from 3 exons. The record is from RefSeq and is a predicted model, not a curated record.